Molecule: long non-coding RNA, 810 nt
Organism: Bombyx mori (domestic silkworm)
Lineage: Eukaryota; Metazoa; Arthropoda; Insecta; Lepidoptera; Bombycidae
Exons: 2
Source: RefSeq, a predicted model, not a curated record
AAUUACGUAAAUUUGACCUUAUAGGUCUAAUUCGGUUCAGAAUAUGUAGUCGACCUCGAAGUUCGGUGAAAUAUGUAUAAUGAUGUAUGCAGUCGGUCUGUAUACACCCUUAGACACGUCGAAACAUAAAUACAUUGCACUCAUUGUCGUGCCAGAAACGUUUUGGCACAACGCGCAAGAUUAUUAAUUUGAUGAACGCUAAAAGUAACCUAACAAAGUAUCGAAGUAUUCGAGAUGUCGGUACUUUUUAUUAAAUGUUAAGUAGGUUUCCUACUUCAUUGGGUUCACCACAAACCGAGAGAAGUGGCGAUUGCUGGUGAGGCGCUUAACAUCUGCCCACGGCAAUGGUACUGACUGAGGACCACGACCGCUCUGACAAGAGUGUAUCACUCUACAAGGAUAUAUAUCAAUCAAAAUCUACAGCCAUGGUAUGCACCUCUGCCAGCGGAGCGGUAAUUGUUCAAUACCUUUUUUGACAUGACAACGUCUUAUAAUUCGAUGGAGCCGGCUGCACGGACGAAAAAACAUGACUCAAUGAGGCGUUCCAUUUAGGCUUGAAGUGCAAGCGAGAGCGCGCAACGAGCGACAAAGAGGCACAAUCGGCCUCCGCGUUCGGCAGCGUUCGACAUCUGUCUCUCUCCUACUUGAGUGAGCGAUGCAUCCGCGUGGACAGCUGCUAUACAAGAAUACAUUUACUUGUUUUCGUCAAGUAUGAAGUUCAGUGAAAAGUGAAUGUGGUGUCAAUUGUCCAUACAAAAUAUCUAUUAAACAAAUAAAAUAAAAAUUUUCUUUUGAAAAAUGAAACCAUUC